Molecule: long non-coding RNA, 346 nt
Filed under: Salmo salar (Atlantic salmon)
Lineage: Eukaryota; Metazoa; Chordata; Actinopteri; Salmoniformes; Salmonidae
Description: lncRNA (ENSSSAG00000106890.1)
Source: RNAcentral
AGUGACCAGGUGAGGGGAAUACGACGACGAGGAAACCGGCCUCUAGGGGCAAAAGUAUACGGAUGGGGAUGCAUACAAAGGUAUGUCAAUUGGUAUUGGUAUGUUAUGCAGAUCACAUUUACCAACCUCCUCCCUUAUCUCUUCAAUGAAUAUCCCAUAGGCCUCUACAUUAUGGAGAAGACUUCACACUCCCUAUACCUCUGAUGAAUAUAACAGGAGACCUGUUCGAUCACCAUGCACUGCUAAAUCAUUGUGGCUGUGGAUAUGGAGAACAUCAACACAUUAACGUCAACACACCAGAGGAUAAACCCAUUGGACUUGGGGCUCUGCUGGAAGUACACCUCAU